AGGCAAAUCCGCUUUGAUAAUGCUGGGAUGUGAUGGGGAGCGAAAUUUAGUAGCGAAGUAGCUGAUUUCACACUGUCAAGAAAAGUCUCUAUCGAGGUUAAAGGUACCCGUACCGCAAACCGACACAGGUGGGUGAGGAGAGUAUCCUAAGGCCAGCGAGAGAACUGUUGUUAAGGAACUCGGCAAAAUGACCCCGUAACUUAGGGAUAAGGGGUGCCACCAUCAGGUGGCCGCAGAGAAUAGGCCCAAGCGACUGUUUACCAAAAACAUAGGUUUCUGCUAAGUCGCAAGACGAUGUAUAGGAGCUGACGCCUGCCCGGUGCUGGAAGGUUAAGGGGAUCUGUUAGAGUAAUCGAAGCAGUGAACUUAAGCCCCAGUAAACGGCGGCCGUAACUAUAACGGUCCUAAGGUAGCGAAAUUCCUUGUCGGGUAAGUUCCGACCCGCACGAAAGGCGUAACGAUUUGGGCACUGUCUCAACAACAGACUCGGUGAAAUUGUAAUUCCGGUGAAGAUGCCGGAUACCUGCGACAGGACGGAAAGACCCCAUGGAGCUUUACUGUAGCUUGACAUUGGGUCUUGGUACUACAUGUACAGGAUAGGUGGGAGGCUUUGAAACCAGGACGCCAGUUUUGGCGGAGCCAUCCUUGGGAUACCACCCUUGUAGUACUGGGACUCUAACCAUAGGCCAUGAAUCUGGUCUUGGGACACUGUCAGGUGGGCAGUUUGACUGGGGCGGUCGCCUCCCAAAAGGUAACGGAGGCGCUCAAAGGUUCUCUCAGUACGGUCGGAAAUCGUACGUAGAGUGUAAAGGCAAAAGAGAGCUUGAUUGCAAGACAUACAGGUCGAGCAAGGAUGAAAAUCGGACUUAGUGAUCCGGUGGUUCUGCGUGGAAGGGCCAUCGCUCAACGGAUAAAAGCUACCCUGGGGAUAACAGGCUUAUCUCCCCCAAGAGUCCACAUCGACGGGGAGGUUUGGCACCUCGAUGUCGGCUCAUCACAUCCUGGGGCUGUAGUAGGUCCCAAGGGUUGGGCUGUUCGCCCAUUAAAGUGGUACGCGAGCUGGGUUCAGAACGUCGUGAGACAGUUCGGUCCCUAUCCGUCGCAGGCGUAGGAAAUUUGAGAAGACCUGUCCUUAGUACGAGAGGACCGGGAUGGACG
RNAcentral lists this ribosomal RNA (1158 nucleotides) under Clostridioides difficile. RNAcentral describes it as "partial 23S ribosomal RNA". It matches the Rfam family "Bacterial large subunit ribosomal RNA", at positions 1534 to 2703 of the family's 2925-position model. The record is from RNAcentral. Lineage: Bacteria; Bacillati; Bacillota; Clostridia; Peptostreptococcales; Peptostreptococcaceae.